GCAGAUAUUCCGUGAUCAUCCGAAUCCUUUUGAACGCACAUUUGCGCCCUUCUGGUAUUCCGGAGGGCAUGCCUGUCUUGAGCGUCGUUCUCUCCCUCAAACCGCUGGGUUUGGUGUUGAGCAAUACGACUUGGGUUUGCUUGAAAGACGGUAGUGGUAAGGCGGGAUCGCUUUGACAAUGGCUUAGGUCUAACCAAAAACAUUGCUUGCGGCGGUAACGUCCACCACGUAUAUCUUCAAACUUUGACCUCAAAUCAGGUAGGACUACCCGCUGAACUUAAGCAUAUAUAAGCCGGAGGAA
This 301-nucleotide unclassified non-coding RNA is filed under the name Candida albicans. Its description in RNAcentral is "sequence contains ITS2". Lineage: Eukaryota; Fungi; Ascomycota; Pichiomycetes; Serinales; Debaryomycetaceae. The record is from RNAcentral.